AACGAACGCUGGCGGCAUGCCUAACACAUGCAAGUCGAACGAGACCUUCGUGUCUAGUGGCGCACGGGUGCGUAACGCGUGGUAACCUGCCCUUAGGAUCGGAAUAACUCCCCGAAAGGGGUGCUAAUACCGGAUAAUGUCUUCGGACCAAAGAUUUAUCGCCUUUGGAUGUUCCCGCGUUGUUUUUGCUAGUUGGUAGUGGAAACGCCUACCAAGGGGACGAUCCAUAGCUGGUCUGAGGGGAUGAUCAGCCACACUGGGACUGAGACACGACGCAGACUCCUGCGGGAGGCAGCAGUGGGGAAUAUUGGACAAUGGGCGAAAGACUGAUCCAGCAAUGCCGCGUGAGUGAUGAAGGCCUUAGGGUUGUAAAGCUCUUUUACCCGGGAUGAUAAUGACAGUACCGGGAGAAUAAGCUCCGGCUAACUCCGUG
RNAcentral lists this ribosomal RNA (433 nucleotides) under uncultured bacterium. RNAcentral's name for it is "partial 16S ribosomal RNA". It matches the Rfam family "Bacterial small subunit ribosomal RNA", at positions 29 to 507 of the family's 1533-position model. The record is from RNAcentral.